GCUAGCAGCUCUAUCACCCUUCAACUCCCAGCUGGCAGCCCACAGAAGCUCAGCAGGUGUGAGCCUGGCCAGUACCUGGAUGGGAGACCUCCUGUGAAAGCUAAGGUUGCUGCUGGAA
Lepisosteus oculatus (spotted gar) is the source of this 118-nucleotide ribosomal RNA. The record is from Rfam. Lineage: Eukaryota; Metazoa; Chordata; Actinopteri; Semionotiformes; Lepisosteidae.